UACGUAGGGGGCAAGCGUUAUCCGGAUUUACUGGGUGUAAAGGGGGCGCAGACGGCGAUGCAAGCCAGGAGUGAAAGCCCGGGGCCCAACCCCGGGACUGCUCUUGGAACUGCGUGGCUGGAGUGCAGGAGGGGCAGGCGGAAUUCCUGGUGUAGCGGUGAAAUGCGUAGAUAUCAGGAGGAACACUGGUGGCGAAGGCGGCCUGCUGGACUGCAACUGACGUUGAGGCCCGAAAGCGUGGGGAGCAAACAGG
RNAcentral lists this ribosomal RNA (253 nucleotides) under uncultured bacterium. RNAcentral describes it as "partial 16S ribosomal RNA". It matches the Rfam family "Bacterial small subunit ribosomal RNA", at positions 524 to 776 of the family's 1533-position model. The record is from RNAcentral.